Molecule: ribosomal RNA, 1002 nt
Filed under: Ustulina deusta
Lineage: Eukaryota; Fungi; Ascomycota; Sordariomycetes; Xylariales; Xylariaceae
Description: partial large subunit ribosomal RNA
Rfam family: Eukaryotic large subunit ribosomal RNA
Source: RNAcentral
GGCGAGUGAAGCGGCAACAGCUCAAAUUUGAAAUCUGGCCUUCGGGUCCGAGUUGUAAUUUGCAGAGGAUGCUUUUGGCGCGGUGCCUUCCGAGUUCCCUGGAAUGGGACGCCUUAGAGGGUGAGAGCCCCGUACGGUUGGACACUAAGCCUCUGUAAAGCUCCUUCGACGAGUCGAGUAGUUUGGGAAUGCUGCUCUAAAUGGGAGGUAAAUUUCUUCUAAAGCUAAAUAUUGGCCAGAGACCGAUAGCGCACAAGUAGAGUGAUCGAAAGAUGAAAAGCACUUUGAAAAGAGGGUUAAAUAGCACGUGAAAUUGUUGAAAGGGAAGCGUUUGCGACCAGACCUUUUCCUGGCGGAUCAUCCGGUGUUCUCACCGGUGCACUUCGCCAGGUUGAGGCCAGCAUCGGUUUUCGUAGGGGGAUAAAAGCCUGAGGAACGUAGCUCCCUCGGGAGUGUUAUAGCCCCUCGCAUAAUACCUUUACGGGGACCGAGGACCGCGCCUUCGGGCAAGGAUGCUGGCAUAAUGGUUGUCAACGACCCGUCUUGAAACACGGACCAAGGAGUCGAACAUUUGUGCGAGUGUUUGGGUGUUAAACCCUCACGCGUAAUGAAAGUGAACGGAGGUGAGAGCCCCUUGCGGGGUGCAUCAUCGACCGAUCCUGAUGUCUUCGGAUGGAUUUGAGUAAGAGCAUAACUGUUCGGACCCGAAAGAUGGUGAACUAUGCGUGGAUAGGGUGAAGCCAGAGGAAACUCUGGUGGAGGCUCGCAGCGGUUCUGACGUGCAAAUCGAUCGUCAAAUCUGCGCAUGGGGGCGAAAGACUUAUCGAACCAUCUAGUAGCUGGUUACCGCCGAAGUUUCCCUCAGGAUAGCAGUGUUGUUCUUCAGUUUUAUGAGGUAAAGCGAAUGAUUAGGGACUCGGGGGCGCUUUUUAGCCUUCAUCCAUUCUCAAACUUUAAAUAUGUAAGAAGCCCUUGUUACUUAAUUGAACGUGGGCAUUCGAA